AAUAGAUACCCAGGUAGUCCACGCCGUAAACGUUGGAUACUAGGUGUGGCGGUUAUACCAAUGACUGCCGUGCCGAAGCUAACGCAUUAAGUAUCCCGCCUGGGGAGUACGGCCGCAAGGCUAAAACUCAAAGGAAUUGACGGGUCCCCGCACAAGCGGCGGAGCAUGCGGCUUAAUUCGAUGCAACCCGAAGAACCUUACCUGGGUUUGACAUCACGGGAAAAGCUGUAGAAAUACAGUGUCCAUUAGGGCCCGUGACAGGUGGUGCAUGGCUGUCGUCAGCUCGUGUCGUGAGAUGUUGGGUUAAGUCCCGCAACGAGCGCAACCCUUGUCCUAUGUUGCCAGCGGUUCGGCCGGGGACUCAUAGGAGACUGCCGGGGAUAACUCGGAGGAAGGUGAGGACGACGUCAAGUCAUCAUGCCCCUUAUAUCCAGGGCUGCACGCAUGCUACAAUGGCCGGUACAACAGGCAGCGACCCCGCGAGGGUGAGCGAAUCCUAAAAAGCCGGUCCUAGUUCGGAUUGAAGUCUGCAACUCGA
RNAcentral lists this ribosomal RNA (538 nucleotides) under uncultured bacterium. RNAcentral describes it as "bacterial SSU rRNA". It matches the Rfam family "Bacterial small subunit ribosomal RNA", at positions 777 to 1315 of the family's 1533-position model. The record is from RNAcentral.